UACAGAGGGGGCAAGCGUUGUUCGGAAUUACUGGGCGUAAAGGGCGCGUAGGCGGCGUGCUAAGUCGAACGUGAAAUCCCCGGGCUCAACCCGGGAACUGCGUCCGAGACUGGCAUGCUUGAAUCCGGGAGAGGGAUGUGGAAUUCCAGGUGUAGCGGUGAAAUGCGUAGAUAUCUGGAGGAACAUCGGUGGCGAAGGCGGCAUCCUGGACCGGUAUUGACGCUGAGGCGCGAAAGCCAGGGGAGCAAACAGG
This 253-nucleotide ribosomal RNA is filed under the name uncultured bacterium. RNAcentral describes it as "partial 16S ribosomal RNA". It matches the Rfam family "Bacterial small subunit ribosomal RNA", at positions 524 to 776 of the family's 1533-position model. The record is from RNAcentral.